Molecule: non-coding RNA, 94 nt
Organism: Mycena polygramma
Lineage: Eukaryota; Fungi; Basidiomycota; Agaricomycetes; Agaricales; Mycenaceae
Source: the annotation of a GenBank genome assembly
GACCCGAUGGCGUAGCUGGUAGCGCAUCGCAGGACCAUAUAUUUGUAGUACGACUUCGACUGCAAUGAUCCCUGUUCGAUUCGGGGUCGGGUUA